CUUCAUUGUUAUAAUGCGGACAGCAGUAAAGGACCCUCGGAUCUCUUGGCAAGCCUGAAUUCUUAGGCUAGGAGCUAGUGUUUCUGUGCCUAAAAAUAUAUUGGCAUGUUGUCUUUCAUGGUCAUGGAUUGGGUCCCAGAAACUGCCUGAGCUUCAUCAGAGGCAUGACAUGAGAUGAACAGGCUGCUUUUAAUACUUGAAUGACAUGUUAAAG
This is a long non-coding RNA of Zalophus californianus (California sea lion), 214 nucleotides long. RefSeq lists it as uncharacterized. The record is from RefSeq and is a predicted model, not a curated record. Lineage: Eukaryota; Metazoa; Chordata; Mammalia; Carnivora; Otariidae. The transcript has 3 exons.